GGGGCCUUAGCUCAGCUGGGAGAGCGCCUGCUUUGCAAGCAGGAUGUCGUCAGUUCGAUCCCGUCAGGCUCCACCA
RNAcentral lists this transfer RNA (76 nucleotides) under Devosia sp. A8/3-2. RNAcentral's name for it is "tRNA-Ala". It matches the Rfam family "tRNA". Rfam says of the family: Transfer RNA (tRNA) molecules are approximately 80 nucleotides in length. Their secondary structure includes four short double-helical elements and three loops (D, anti-codon, and T loops). Further hydrogen bonds mediate the characteristic L-shaped molecular structure. tRNAs have two regions of fundamental functional importance: the anti-codon, which is responsible for specific mRNA codon recognition, and the 3' end, to which the tRNAs corresponding amino acid is attached (by aminoacyl-tRNA synthetases). tRNAs cope with the degeneracy of the genetic code in two manners: having more than one tRNA (with a specific anti-codon) for a particular amino acid; and 'wobble' base-pairing, i.e. permitting non-standard base-pairing at the 3rd anti-codon position. Lineage: Bacteria; Pseudomonadati; Pseudomonadota; Alphaproteobacteria; Hyphomicrobiales; Devosiaceae. The record is from RNAcentral.